AAUAUUGGACAAUGGGGGCAAUCCUGAUCCAGCCAUGCCGCGUGUGUGAAGAAGGUCUUCGGAUUGUAAAGCACGUUAGGUUGGGAGUAAGGGCUUUAGGCUAAUACCCUGAAGUUUUGACGUUACCAACAGAAUAAUUACCGGCUAACUCUGUGCCAGCAGCCGCGGUAAUACAUAGGGUGCAAGCGUUAAUCGGAAUUACUGGGCGGAAAGCGCGCGUAGGUUGUUCAGUAAGAUGGGUGUGAAAUCCCCGGGCUUAACCUGGGAACUGCUUUCAUAACUGCUGAGCUAGAGUACGGUAGAGGGUAGUGGAAUUUCCUGUGUAGCGGUGAAAUGCGUAGAUAUAGGAAGGAACACCAGUGGCGAAGGCGACUACCUGGACUGAUACUGACACUGAGGUGCGAAAGCGUGGGGAGCAAACA
RNAcentral lists this ribosomal RNA (422 nucleotides) under uncultured bacterium. Its description in RNAcentral is "partial 16S ribosomal RNA". It matches the Rfam family "Bacterial small subunit ribosomal RNA", at positions 360 to 774 of the family's 1533-position model. The record is from RNAcentral.